This 489-nucleotide ribosomal RNA is filed under the name uncultured bacterium. RNAcentral describes it as "partial 16S ribosomal RNA". It matches the Rfam family "Bacterial small subunit ribosomal RNA", at positions 30 to 506 of the family's 1533-position model. The record is from RNAcentral.
AUUGAACGCUGGCGGCAGGCCUAACACAUGCAAGUCGAACGGUAACAGGAAGAAGCUUGCUUCUUUGCUGACGAGUGGCGGACGGGUGAGUAAUGUCUGGGAAACUGCCUGAUGGAGGGGGAUAACUACUGGAAACGGUAGCUAAUACCGCAUAACGUCGCAAGACCAAAAAGGGGGACCUUCGGGCCUCUUGCCAUCGGAUGUGCCCAGAUGGGAUUAGCUAGUAGGUGGGGUAACGGCUCACCUAGGCGACGAUCCCUAGCUGGUCUGAGAGGAUGACCAGCCACACUGGAGCUGAGACACGGUCCAGACUCCUACGGGAGGCAGCAGUGGGGAAUAUUGCACAAUGGGCGCAAGCCUGAUGCAGCCAUGCCGCGUGUAUGAAGAAGGCCUUCGGGUUGUAAAGUACUUUCAGCGGGGAGGAAGGGAGUAAAGUUAAUACCUUUGCUCAUUGACGUUACCCGCAGAAGAAGCACCGGCGAACUCCGU